AUUGAACGCUGGCGGAAUGCUUUACACAUGCAGGUCGAACGGCAGCACGGACUUCGGUCUGGUGGCGAGUGGCGAACGGGUGAGUAAUGUAUCGGAACGUGCCCAGUCGUGGGGGAUAACGUAGUGAAAAUUACGCUAAUACCGCAUACGAUCUAUGGAUGAAAGCGGGGGAUCGCAAGACCUCGCGCGGUUGGAGCGGCCGAUAUCAGAUUAGGUAGUUGGUGGGGUAAAGGCCCACCAAGCCAACGAUCUGUAGCUGGUCUGAGAGGCACGACCAGCCACACUGGAACUGAGACACGGUCCAGACUCCUACGGGAGGCAGCAGUGGGGAAUUUUGGACAAUGGGCGAAAGCCUGAUCCAGCCAUUCCGCGUGCAGGAUGAAGGCCCUCGGGUUGUAAACUGCUUUUGUACAGAACGAAAAGGUUUCUACUAAUACUAGGAGCUCAUGACGGUACUGUAAGAAUAAGCACCGGCUAACUACGUGCCAGCAGCCGCCGUAA
RNAcentral lists this ribosomal RNA (501 nucleotides) under uncultured bacterium. RNAcentral's name for it is "partial 16S ribosomal RNA". It matches the Rfam family "Bacterial small subunit ribosomal RNA", at positions 30 to 523 of the family's 1533-position model. The record is from RNAcentral.